AAGAAACCAAACACAAGAAGAAGAUGAUGUGGCUUCAUGUGGUCGUCCGUCCAUAAUCCUUUUUCUCUCAGCUUCUUUGUUUGGGAAAGAUAACGUCUUCAUUCUGCUAUUUGCUGACAUCAUCAGUGAGUGAAUAGACCUUCCCACUGUCUUCACUCUGUCUUUGCUCUCCUUGCUCUCCCUCUCUGUCUCCCAGGGUUCUGCUGCAGCAGUGAUAACCAGCGUCUAUCACCGCUGUGUUACAGUGUCUGGGUGCUGCAGAUAGCUUAUCUCAUGGAGGCUUACACCCCGGGAGCACCGACACCAACUCCACUGUACUCAUGCAGACCUUACAUACUCACACAGCCAGCACACGGAUGCAGCGCAGAGAGAAAAGCAGUCCGUCACUGCUGUGUAAUCGUCUUCGUCCACACUUAGUGUCGAUCCGAAAAACUCACUGGGUUCGUCCUUAGGGCCAAACAGAACAAGCCGGGGUUGAAUCGAUGUGGCGUGGACCCUCAAGUCUCAACACUGCACAUACGGACAAGAGUGCUGGAUGAGUGUAAAUUCAAGCACAGCUUUAGACAUGGAAAUAUCAUCAAACAGAUGGGAACAGAUGUUUGAAUACAUUUACUGUCUCCAGCUACAGUUGCUGGGAUCAACAUCUCUGGUACACACCGAUCCGGUUCUUUAAAUCGACCAGCGGCACCAAAUUAUAUCAUCAGUUCUUGUCUGUGAACACAACCAGGAAUCCUGCUCCUCUUGUUUAGCCUUAUUAUAAAUGUGCUCAGACAGAAGAUGAAUAGGAAGACACACAGUUUUGACGCAUCUACUGUUUCCAUUGAUUUUGUCUCAAACUCUCUCGGUCAAAUAGAGAGAGAGAACUCAGAUAUCUGCCCAUUAAUCAUCUGGUGCCGGUUGCACCAUCUAGUCUUUACUGAGACGGGCUGUAUCUGCAAGUCAGUCUCAGUUAAUUUAACGUUAUGAAUGAUUCAAGAAGAGAAAAGGCCGUUUCACUGACACUGAGUACAUCCUGUCGGCUACGCUGCGACUAGAUAAAUGAUGUACCUUGUUAACAGCUGAUCACUGCAGAUGAGCACGAAUGUGAGAGAUAAUGAUACCAGCGCUCUUAAAGUGAUUCCAAUACCAAGAGAGUAUUUUAUUUAAUACCCAUCAGGUGAAAGGAAGCAUUUAGUUGUUUAAAAUCCCACCAUCCGUCCUCGUCUGACAGGAAGUCUGCUGCUGCUGUAGUGGGCCAAUCACAUGUGGGUACUAAUGACCAGUAACCUAAUCCAAGUAUCCUGAUAUUAAAUGAAUGUAACUUGAUGAUUUGCUGGUUACUUCAAUACCAGAUAUUCAAAUAAAAUCAGGAGAAAUGAGA
This is a long non-coding RNA of Acanthopagrus latus (yellowfin seabream), 1360 nucleotides long. RefSeq lists it as uncharacterized. NCBI's taxonomy places the organism in Eukaryota, Metazoa, Chordata, Actinopteri, Spariformes, Sparidae. The record is from RefSeq and is a predicted model, not a curated record. The transcript has 2 exons.